RNAcentral lists this ribosomal RNA (489 nucleotides) under uncultured bacterium. Its description in RNAcentral is "partial 16S ribosomal RNA". It matches the Rfam family "Bacterial small subunit ribosomal RNA", at positions 28 to 523 of the family's 1533-position model. The record is from RNAcentral.
GAUGAACGCUAGCGACAGGCCUAACACAUGCAAGUCGAGGGGCAGCACUUCGGGUGGCGACCGGCGCACGGGUGAGUAACGCGUAUGCAACCUACCCAUUACAGGGGUAUAACUGUCAGAACCGGAAACUCAUCACGAAUAAUUCCCCGGGAUCGCAGCGGUCGGUGGUUAAAGACUUACGGAAACGGAUGGGCAUGCGUGACAUUAGGUAGUUUGUAGAGUAACGGCCUACCAAGACUACGAUGUCGAGGGGUUGUGAGAGGAAGGUCCCCCACACUGGGACUGAGACACGGACCAGACUCCUACGGGAGGCAGCAGUGAGGAAUAUUGGUCAAUGGGCGAGAGCCUUAACCAGCCAAGUCGCGUGCAGGAUUACUGCCUUAUGGGUUUUAAACUGCUUUUAUAAAGGAAUAACAACUCUUACGUGUAAGAGGAUGAAUGUACUGUAGGAAUAAGGAUCGGCUAACUCCGUGCCAGCAGCCGCCGUAA